GGGGGUUUUUGUUUGGAGAGUUUGAUCCUGGCUCAGGACGAACGCUGGCGGCGUGCUUAACACAUGCAAGUCGAACGGAAAGGCCCUUCGGGGUACUCGAGUGGAGAA
RNAcentral lists this ribosomal RNA (108 nucleotides) under Mycolicibacterium obuense. RNAcentral describes it as "Mycobacterium obuense partial 16S ribosomal RNA". It matches the Rfam family "Bacterial small subunit ribosomal RNA", at positions 1 to 102 of the family's 1533-position model. Lineage: Bacteria; Bacillati; Actinomycetota; Actinomycetes; Mycobacteriales; Mycobacteriaceae. The record is from RNAcentral.